This 145-nucleotide small RNA is filed under the name Arabidopsis thaliana (thale cress). RNAcentral describes it as "ATSL204720". Lineage: Eukaryota; Viridiplantae; Streptophyta; Magnoliopsida; Brassicales; Brassicaceae. The record is from RNAcentral.
AGAUCACAUCUUGAUUGUUAGCAUCACACCCAUUUGGAUUGACAACCUUCAGUACUACAACGACAUGAUAGUGCUUUAGGUUUAAUUGACUAAAAAACCGAUCAUCAACUGUUGUCUAAACACUCCUAAUUCAUCUCUAACUCUG